GACGAACGCUGGCGGCGUGCUUAACACAUGCAAGUCGUACGGUAAGGCCCUUUCGGGGGUACACGAGUGGCGAACGGGUGAGUAACACGUGAGUAACCUGCCCACAACUUUGGGAUAACGCUAGGAAACUGGUGCUAAUACUGGAUAUGUGCUCCUGCUGCAUGGUGGGGGUUGGAAAGCUCCGGCGGUUGUGGAUGGACUCGCGGCCUAUCAGCUUGUUGGUGGGGUAGUGGCCUACCAAGGCGGCGACGGGUAGCCGGCCUGAGAGGGUGACCGGCCACAUUGGGACUGAGAUACGGCCCAGACUCCUACGGGAGGCAGCAGUGGGGAAUAUUGCACAAUGGGCGCAAGCCUGAUGCAGCAACGCCGCGUGCGGGAUGACGGCCUUCGGGUUGUAAACCGCUUUCAGCAGGGACGAAGCUUUUUGUGACGCUACCUGCAGAAGAAGCACCGGCUAACUACGUG
This 465-nucleotide ribosomal RNA is filed under the name uncultured bacterium. Its description in RNAcentral is "partial 16S ribosomal RNA". It matches the Rfam family "Bacterial small subunit ribosomal RNA", at positions 28 to 507 of the family's 1533-position model. The record is from RNAcentral.